UGGCCUUGUACGUGAAAUGCUGCACAAAUCUUCUUCCAACAACGGAUACAAAUAAGUGAGGGUAUAACAACCCAUGAGGCAUUUGCACCAACAUAGUAUGCAUAGUAGUAAUAAGGACUUGCAGCAUAGUUAUCGCCCUCCAAGUAGGAAGUUAUGAAAUACACAGCAGUUCCAUAGAGCUGCCCCAGAGAAAUAGCAAACUGAAGUAUGUAGCUAUAUGACUUCCCCAUAGCAAUUGCAUAUACUGCCAGAAGGCUAGCUGGACCCUCCAAUACUGCAGUCAAUCCUUCUACGGCAACUACUCCAGCAUCCCUUGCUGCAUAUCUUGAAUCACCUUUGCUGUAUUCUUUCCAAACUUCAGCCAGAUAAAAAGGGGUCUUCUCCUUGUAAAACUCGGGAGAGAAAGCAAAAUAUCCUUCAAGAAUUAUGUGCGUGAGACCAGUGAAAGCCCACCAGCACAUAAGCAAUCUAUCAAUUUUUGCUGUUUUGGGUGACCCCCCAGAAAGUACCCAGACGAGGGAGACGACGACAAGGGAAGAGAUUCCAUAGACGCUAAGGAUGGUGGACUGAGAGAGGAGUACAGGUACGUAAUCCGGCAGUUUCAGAUCUCUCGGCACGUAUGGAUGCGGCUGCCCCUCCAUUUUUUUCGUAUCUCUUUUGGGUAUUGC
RNAcentral lists this unclassified non-coding RNA (668 nucleotides) under Hevea brasiliensis (rubber tree). Lineage: Eukaryota; Viridiplantae; Streptophyta; Magnoliopsida; Malpighiales; Euphorbiaceae. The record is from RNAcentral.